GGUGGUUUUGGCUCUUGCCUCGAGCCCCUUCCUGUUACUCCCCCUGGACUUCAGGGGUCCCUCCCUGUGUUCUGGGGUCCCUCCCUGAGUUCUGGGGUCUCCCAGAAUCCCAGGGGGUCUCCCCUGUAUUUGGGGGACCCCCUCCCCGGGUUUUGGGGCCCCCCCUGACCCCCUUUUUCCCCCCCUUUAGGUCCAGGGCGUCCGCACCGAGUUCACGGUGGAGGUUUACGAGACCCACGCGCGGAUCGCGCUGGAGAAGGGCGACCACGAGGAGUUCAACCAGUGCCAGACGCAGCUGAAGGCGCUUUACGGGGAGAACCUGCCCGGCUGCGUCGGGGAGUUCACGGCCUAUCGCAUCCUCUACUGCAUCUUCACCCGCAACUCGGGGGAGCUGACCACAGAGCUGGCCCUGCUGCCCCCCAGCCUGAGGACAGACCCCUGUGUGUCCCACGCCCUUUCCCUCCGCGCCGCCUGGGCCUUGGGGCUCUGGAGCCGCUUCUUCCGGCUGCACGGGGCGGCCCCGGCCAUGGGAGGGAAACUCAUCGACCUGUUUGCCGAGAGGGAGCGUCGGGCAGCCCUCAGGGCCAUGAUCAAGGCGUAGGUGGGGCCGGGGGGCCGCGGGGGGGGACGGGAUUUUGGGGGGGAAACCGGCGGGAAUCGGGCGGGAAACGGGCGGGAAUUGGGGGGGGGGGGAAAGGAGGAGAUGGGAGGGGAAAUGACCUGAAAAUGAGGGGGGAACGGCCCAAAACUGAGGGGAAAAGACCCCAAAAGUGAGGGGAAAAGACCCCUGGAAUUGAGGGGAAAAGACCCCAAAACUGAGGGAAAAAGAAAGACCCCAAAACUGAGGGGAAAACGUCCCCAAAACUGAGGGGAAAAAGACCCCUGAAAUUGAGGGGAAAAGACCC
This is an RNA transcript of Neopelma chrysocephalum (saffron-crested tyrant-manakin), 905 nucleotides long. It is a transcript of the gene named leukocyte receptor cluster member 8, with no coding region annotated. The transcript is spliced from 3 exons. The record is from RefSeq and is a predicted model, not a curated record. NCBI's taxonomy places the organism in Eukaryota, Metazoa, Chordata, Aves, Passeriformes, Pipridae.